RNAcentral lists this non-coding RNA (148 nucleotides) under Pan troglodytes (chimpanzee). Lineage: Eukaryota; Metazoa; Chordata; Mammalia; Primates; Hominidae. The record is from Rfam by way of RNAcentral.
GCUGGGCAUUGUGGCGUGUGCCUGUAAUCCCAGCUACUCAGGAGGCUGAGGCAGGAGAAUUGCUUGAACUUGGGAGGCAGAGGUUGCAGUGAGCCGGAAUUGCUCCACUGCACUCUAGCCUGGGUGACAGAGUGAGACUCUGUCUCAA